This is a long non-coding RNA of Oreochromis niloticus (Nile tilapia), 1361 nucleotides long. RefSeq lists it as uncharacterized. The record is from RefSeq and is a predicted model, not a curated record. The transcript has 2 exons. NCBI's taxonomy places the organism in Eukaryota, Metazoa, Chordata, Actinopteri, Cichliformes, Cichlidae.
CACCUAAUAUGCUUAAUUGGUAGUAGGCUUUCGAGCCUAUACAGCUUUGAGUGAGACAACAUGCAUGAAGAGGAUGAUGUGGACAAAAUACUCAUUUGUCUAAUAAUUCUGCACUCCCUGUACAACAGCUCAUUAUCUCACAGCGGACUGGCGACUGCUGUCUUACGUUCUCCAAACUCGAACAUUACAUGAGAGUCACACCGGAGCGAACAUUGCAAAUCUCCUGCAAAAUGCAGCACAGGAAUGGGGGAUUGCUGACAAAAAUCUGGUGGUUGUCACCGACAAUGCUUCUAAUAUGACAGUUGCCACUCAGCUAGCGGGAUACUUGCAUGUGAAGUGUUUCGCCCAUACGCUCAAUCUGGCAUCACAACCAGCCUUAAACCUGCCUGCAGUAGCCAGAGUCUUGGGGAGAGUGCGGCGCAUAAUUGGGUUUUUCAAUAGAAGCACAGUGGCAAACCACGCUCUGGAGCAAAAACAGAAAAUGUUACAGCUCCCGACUCACAAGCUCAAGACCGACGUCUGCACGAGAUGGAACAGUGCUUAUGACAUGCUCCAGCGUUUCCUUGAACAACAACCUGCGAUUUGUGCAGCGCUGCUGUCUCCCGAAGUCAGAAAGAGUAGCAGAGAUAUCUUUACUCUAAAUGAGACGGAUAUUGGGAACACUGAAGAAAUUGUCCGGGCCUUGAAGUCAAUGCAAGUCGCGACUACUGUGAUGUCUGAGGAAAAGAAUCCUACUCGGUCUCUCGUAGCACCGCUGCUAGCACAGCUGUUGCACGACAUCCAAGACAACAUUGGUGACACAGCGCUGGUCAGAAACAUCUAGCAAAGUAUCAGUCAAGAUCUUAAGAAGAGAUAUGCCAGCACAGUCGAGAGGAACACCCUCUACACAGCAUCAGCUCUCGACCCACGCUUUAAAACCCUGCCGUUCCUAUCACUGGAGGAAAGACAGGAAACCUAUGUCAGAGUGGUUGCUGAGGCUAUAACCCUUCAGGAAGAAAAGAGGCAGCAGCCCAUCUGUGAGCCAGAAGCCCAUGAACAUCAUGAGAAACCUGACGAGACUGAACAAAAUCCCAGACCCUCUCUCAUACCAGCCAAGAUGAGGAAGUCUUGUGGGUUAACAGACUUGCUUGGUCAGACUUAUGGUGAUGUUGGAGCCCCACCAAAAUCAUUAUCUGCCACAGCUGAGGAGGAGGUGAAAAGAUACCAGGAGGUCACGCCACUGGCACUCACAGAAGACCCACUAAGCUGGUGGAAAUCCCAUGAGGAAGUCUAUCCUUUCCUGGCCACACUGGCAAAAAGAUACCUUUGUAUCCCAGGUACUAGUGUCUCAGCUGAAAGAGUCUUCUCAACCGCUGGAGACA